Non-coding RNA from Sturnus vulgaris (Common starling), 4632 nucleotides. Lineage: Eukaryota; Metazoa; Chordata; Aves; Passeriformes; Sturnidae. The record is from RefSeq and is a predicted model, not a curated record.
UUAUCCCUGAGUGAUAUCUUUAACAAUCCUCAGUGAGUGUCUUUUAAUUUGUUGUUGUUUGAACAUGUCUCUUGCCACCUUCAGUAACGGUACCUUAGUUUGCCUUGUAGGAGGGGAUGUGCCCUCAGACUGUCUUUGCAUCCUAAUUUUUAUAGAACUUUGUGUGUAUUUUCCCACCAUGCUCUGUUGUGUGUAUAGGGUUGCCUUUCCUUGUCCUCUGUUCUCUGUAUCUUUGAUCCUUGCAGGUUCCUUCUGCAGUUUUCAGUUUCCCUUCCACAAUUAAUAACUUUUUUUUGCCAGCAGAGUUUGUCAUUGUUUUGUUCACUGGCUGAGCUCUGGUGCAGAUUUAUGUUCACGAGAGGCUGGUUUCUUCUGUCCUUGCUUUUGUUUUUAUUCUUAUCUUGUUUAAUUUGUUUAAGCAAAUUUUUGUCUGUGGGGUUUUCAUUUGUUAUCCCAUGGGUGCCCAGUUUAUCUAUAGGGUUUUGAUGGAGGAUGGAUGUCUCUUGGAGAGCUUAGUCCCAUAUUUCUUAUUUAUAUAAGUUUUGACAGUGGGAAAAAUUCCAGUGGAUUGGAGAGACAGGAGAGGUUUUUACAAGGGAAGAAAGAGGAAGUUCCUGCUCUGAAGAAUCACAGAAUCAGAGAUUUGGGGUGUAAGGAACCUUAAAGUUAAUCUCAUUCUACCCUCUGCCAUGGGCAGAGACACCUCCCACUAGCCCAGAUGGCUCUAAGCCCCAUCCAGCCUGGCCUUGGACACUUACAGGAAUGGGGAGAGCUUGAGCUAGACCAAGGUGAUGGACCAGAUGCACUGUGGUGAGUGAGGAGGGAAGGUGGAUAAUGAAAAUAAACUCUGCACUGAUUGAGAUUACUUGGUAGAAGGGAAAUGUGGUAGAACAAGGAAGUCAGGGUGGUACUGUGGUAUCCAUGGGCUCACUGUAUGGAAUGGGUGUUUUGGGACAGAAUUGACUGUGGCCAACUCCCAGACACCCACCUGCUCCACUUGCUCCCCUCCUGUGGGAUGAGGAAAAAUGGACGAAUGGAAUUGUGGGUGGAGAUAAAGGCAGUUUAACAGGUCAAGCAAAAACUGCUUGCACAAAAAGUAAAAUUAGGAAUUCAGUCACCACAUCCUGUCGGCAGGCAGAUCAGCCAUGUCCGGAGUCUCUGUGUGCACAGUAUUCACUUGGAAGACAAAUACUGUGACCAGAAAUGUGCUUCCAUCCUCCUGCUUAUAUAAAGCUUUUAUUUGCUGAGCACGGCCUCUUGUGGCAUGGAAUAUCCCUUUGAUCAAUCUGGGAAGACUGUCCAGGCUGUGUCUGUUCCCAGUUUCUUGUCCAUCCCCAAAUUCCUGCCCAUCCGAAGCCUGCCAGGAGGUGCACAGUGAGAGAAGGAGAAAACAUAGAUGUUGUGGAAGCUCUCCUCAAAAUACGGGUGUGUAAUCAGCAGUCUCCUCAAAAUCCCAAGCAUGGCAUGACGUGUGGCUACUAUGAAGGACAUUGACUCUAUCCCACCUGAAAGGAUGAAGUGGGAAUUAGGAAGGAGAUGGAGGGAGCCUUGUGUCAUGUGUCUGGUGCUGCAGUCUUCCAACAGGCUCUGCUUUCUUACUGUCCUCUAACAAAUGUCUUUCCUCUAUUUUCCAAUGAUCUCCAAAAAAAUAAAUGAAGCUGAGUUCUCUUAUCCUUUUAUUUCACUUGAGGAUUCCAGCAUUGACAUUCUACAAUGCACCAUCUUCUUUCUCCCAGAACCUCUUUUACCCUAACAAAGUAGUCCAUUUACCUGAUUUUUUCACAGAUAUGAUAAAAUGCUCAAAGCUGGGAGAAGAAUCCUCACUGCAAAAUUUUAAAGAAAUAUGACCAGGAUUUGGUGGAAGAAAGUGAAUGGGCUGUGUCUAAUAUAGUGAUGGAAAACACCUGGUGCAGUUCAAAAAAACAGUGAAACCAAGUAUGGAAGAGAGAGAUCUUCCUUGGAACAACAUCAGUGCAAGGUUGGAGGGAUCACUGAGAGCCAAGAGAAUCCUCUUGAUGUGCCAAUGGGGGAAAAGAAAGUUGUGCCAAGAGAAGCAAAGGGGCUUCUGACAGCCAAGGACCUUGAGGCUGUUGGAGCUGCUUCUCAUCCAGACUCGCCAUCAGAAGCAUGGAUUGGAUUUUGCUGCCCUGUUCAUCCUUGAACUCCCACGAUUCAUGAAGAGACUGUGACAAGAACUAGAGUUCUGGGAAUGCUGGCUGUCACCCCAGGAGUGAAGGUGACUGGUGGCUAUCCCUGAGUGCAGCCCAGACUGGCAGGAAGGUGUUGCACACUGAGAUUGCUGUGCUGAGUACAUACGAAAUCCAUGAAUUUAGGAUGAGUUACAACUUAUUUCAAGCAAAUUCCGGGGAAGAAUCAGUGGAAGACUUUUUAGGAGUUUCAGAGUCCAAAGAGCAGAGGUGGCAGUGAGUGUUCGAAAGAAGAGAUCAGGAAGAAAAGAUGGUGCUGGGCAAGUUGUCAACAUCAACUAAACCUGGCACCUUGAAGUUCCUGGCCAGGGCUGUCCCUGUGCCUGUCUCCUGUACUGGAGACUCACCACAGCCCUGGAACUUCUAUGUGAGGCACAAACCUUAACAGAGGUCUGUCCCAGACAUAGAAUCAUUGGAUCAUUUAGAUUGGAAAAGACCCUCAAGAUCAUCAAGUCUGACCAUUAACCUGAGGUAGCUGAGCCCAGUGCUCACCCAGAUCUGGGCAUUGCCAGAUGCAGCCCAGGAAGUCACCUGGGGAUCGCUUUUAGGGGGCUGUACCAGGAACACCCAUCAGAUGAAGCUCUGGACAGACAAUAACAAUGUCCUGUUCACAACACAGCAGAGCAUUAUUGAGCUAGGAGGUUCUGGAAUGCAUUGAGGGUAAAAUCCUUCUCCAAGUGAGAGGAGCCAGCAAGGGGAGGAGCUGUGCUGGACCUUGUUCUCACCAACAGGGAGGACCUGGUGGGAAAUGAGAAGCUCAAGGGCAGCCUGGACUCAGCGAACAUGGAAUGGUAGAUUAAGGAUCCUCAGGGCAACAAGGAGGGCACAGUGAGUCCUGGGAUUCAGGAUGCCUCUUCAGGGAUCUGCUUGGUUGAGUUUAUAAAUAAAUAAAUAAAGCCCUAGAAGGAAGAGGGGCUCAGGAGAGCUGGUUGAUAUUUAAGGAUCGCCUACAAGCUCAGGAGUGACGCAUCCCAAGCACAAGGAAGUUGGAUAAGAACUCCAGGAGGCCUGUGAGGGUGAACAAGGAGCUGCUGGACAAACUCAGAGUGUAGAAGCAAGGACAGACAGCCUGGGAGGAAUGCAGAGGGAUUAUCUGAGUAGCCAGGGAUCAGGUUAGGAUUCCGGCUAGGAAACCUGAAGCCCUGGUAGAAUUAAAUCUGGCCAGGGGUAUCAAGGGCAACAGAAGAGCUUCUACAGGUAAAUUGGUGAUAAAAGGAAAACUGGGGGAAAUGUGGGCCCUCUCCAGAAGGAAACGGGAUGCCUGCUUACCCAGGAGAUGUAGAAGGCCGAGGUUCUUAGCAUUUGUGCCUCAGUCUUCACUGGGAAGUCACCCAGUCACACCACCAGAGUCAUGGGGCAAAGGCAAGGACUGGGAGAAGGAAGCACCAUCCACAGUAGGAGAAUCACAGAAUCCCAGAACCUUUAAGGUUGGAACACCCCUCUAAGGUCAUCAAAUCAAACCUGUGUCAUCGAGUCCAACCUGUGACCAAUACCUACCUGGUCACUCAGCCCUGAGUACUGGGUGCCACGUCCAGGCACUCCUUGGACAUCUCCAGGGAUGGCAACUGCAUCAUCUCCCUGGGAAGCCCCUUCCAAUGCCUGACCACCCAUUCCAGGAAGAAACUCCUCGUGAUGUCCAACCUGAAACUUUCCUGGUACAACUUGAUGUACCUCUUGUAUGUUUCCUCUUGUGCUGUCCGUUGUUCCCUAGGAGCAGAGCCCAACCCUCCCUGGCUGACCCCUCUUGUCAGGGAGUUGUGGGGAGGUAAAGGGUCCCCCCCAAACCUCCUUAUCUCCAGGCUGGGCUGCCCAGCUCUCAUUCAUUCCUAAUAGGACUUAGGCUCCAUACCCUUCACCAGCUCCAUUCCUUUCUCUGGACUUGAGAAGAAAAAAUUCAGGAAUAUUUAGGGAAUGUGAAAGUGCAGAGAUUUGUGGGACCUGAUGAGAUGCAUCCAUGGAUUAUGGGGCAACUGGCAGAGGAAGUUCCUAGGCCACUCUCCAUCAUAUUUGAGAAGUUGUGGCAGUUCAGUGAAGUUCCCACUGACUGGAAAAUGGAAAAUUUGACCCUAUUUUUCCAAAGAGAAAUAAGGCAGAUGCAGUGCACUACAGGACAAUCAGUCACACUGGUGACAGCAAGAUCAUGGAGAAAAUCCUUCUGGAAACUGUGCUAAAGGCACAUGGAAAAUGUGAUUGGUGACAACCAACAUGGCUUCUCUGAAGACAAAUUGUGCCUGACAAAUUUGGUGGCCUUGUUUGACAAGGUGACAGUGCUGGUAGGUGAGAGCAGAGUGACUGACAUCCUCCACCUGGACUGUGCAAAGCAUCAUAGCAGGACAGCCUUGUCUCAAAACUGGAGACACAUGGAUCUGAUGGGUGGAACACUCCCUGGAUGGUGGCACUCAAAGGAUUUGGCUGGAUGGUGGCA